GAUGAACGCUGGCGGCGUGCCUAAUACAUGCAAGUCGAGCGAACAGACGAGGAGCUUGCUCCUCUGACGUUAGCGGCGGACGGGUGAGUAACACGUGGAUAACCUACCUAUAAGACUGGGAUAACUUCGGGAAACCGGAGCUAAUACCGGAUAAUAUAUUGAACCGCAUGGUUCAAUAGUGAAAGACGGUUUUGCUGUCACUUAUAGAUGGAUCCGCGCCGCAUUAGCUAGUUGGUAAGGUAACGGCUUACCAAGGCAACGAUGCGUAGCCGACCAGAGAGGGUGAUCGGCCACACUGGAACUGAGGCACGGUCCAGACUCCUACGGGAGGCAGCAGUAGGGAAUCUUCCGCAAAGGGCGAAAGCUUGACGGAGCAACGCCGCGUGAGUGAUGAAGGUCUUCGGAUCGUAAAACUCUGUUAUUAGGGAAGAACAAAUGUGUAAGUAACUAUGCACGUCUUGACGGUACCUAAUCAGAAAGCCACGGCUAACUACGUG
RNAcentral lists this ribosomal RNA (497 nucleotides) under uncultured bacterium. RNAcentral's name for it is "partial 16S ribosomal RNA". It matches the Rfam family "Bacterial small subunit ribosomal RNA", at positions 28 to 507 of the family's 1533-position model. The record is from RNAcentral.